CCCGCUGAACUUAAGCAUAUCAAUAAGCGGAGGAAAAGAAACUAACAAGGAUUCCCCUAGUAACUGCGAGUGAAGCGGGAAAAGCUCAAAUUUAAAAUCUGGCAGUGGCUCACUGCCCGAGUUGUAAUCUAGAGAAGUGUUGCUCACACUGGACCAUGUAUAAGUCUUCCGGAAUGAAGCGUCAUAGAGGGUGAGAAUCCCGUCUUUGACAUGGACUCCCCAGUGUAUUUGUAGUAUGCUCUCAAAGAGUCGAGUUGUUUGGGAAUGCAGCUCUAAAUGGGUGGUAACCUCCAUCUAAAGCUAAAUGCUGGCGAGAGACCGAUAGUGAACAAGUACCGUGAGGGAAAGAUGAAAAGAACUUUGGAAAGAGAGUUAAAAAGUACGUGAAAUUGUUGAAAGGGAAACGCUUGAAGUCAGUCAUGUCUGCCAGGACUCAGCCUUGCUUCUGCUUGGUGUACUUUCUGGUCGGAUGGGCCAACAUCAAUUUUGACCGUUGGAAAAAGGCUUUGGGAAUGUGGCACCUUCGGGUGUGUUAUAGCCCUUUGUUGUAUACAACGGUUGGGAUUGAGGACUGCAGCACGCCUUUAUGGCCGGGGUUCGCCUACGUACGUGCUUAGGAUGUUGGCAUAAUGGCUUUAAGCGACCCGUCUUGAAACACGG
Molecule: ribosomal RNA, 660 nt
Filed under: uncultured fungus
Lineage: Eukaryota; Fungi
Description: eukaryotic LSU rRNA
Rfam family: Eukaryotic large subunit ribosomal RNA
Source: RNAcentral